This 2392-nucleotide ribosomal RNA is filed under the name Pseudomonas putida. RNAcentral describes it as "bacterial LSU rRNA". It matches the Rfam family "Bacterial large subunit ribosomal RNA", at positions 447 to 2823 of the family's 2925-position model. Lineage: Bacteria; Pseudomonadati; Pseudomonadota; Gammaproteobacteria; Pseudomonadales; Pseudomonadaceae. The record is from RNAcentral.
GGGGGACCAUCCUCCAAGGCUAAAUACUACUGACUGACCGAUAGUGAACCAGUACCGUGAGGGAAAGGCGAAAAGAACCCCGGAGAGGGGAGUGAAAUAGAACCUGAAACCGUAUGCGUACAAGCAGUGGGAGCCUACUUUGUUAGGUGACUGCGUACCUUUUGUAUAAUGGGUCAGCGACUUAUAUUCAGUGGCGAGCUUAACCGAAUAGGGGAGGCGUAGCGAAAGCGAGUCUUAAUAGGGCGUUUAGUCGCUGGGUAUAGACCCGAAACCGGGCGAUCUAUCCAUGGGCAGGUUGAAGGUUAGGUAACACUGACUGGAGGACCGAACCGACUACCGUUGAAAAGUUAGCGGAUGACCUGUGGAUCGGAGUGAAAGGCUAAUCAAGCUCGGAGAUAGCUGGUUCUCCUCGAAAGCUAUUUAGGUAGCGCCUCAUGUAUCACUGUAGGGGGUAGAGCACUGUUUCGGCUAGGGGGUCAUCCCGACUUACCAAACCGAUGCAAACUCCGAAUACCUACAAGUGCCGAGCAUGGGAGACACACGGCGGGUGCUAACGUCCGUCGUGAAAAGGGAAACAACCCAGACCGUCAGCUAAGGUCCCAAAGUCAUGGUUAAGUGGGAAACGAUGUGGGAAGGCUUAGACAGCUAGGAGGUUGGCUUAGAAGCAGCCACCCUUUAAAGAAAGCGUAAUAGCUCACUAGUCGAGUCGGCCUGCGCGGAAGAUGUAACGGGGCUCAAACCAUGCACCGAAGCUACGGGUAUCAUCUUAUGAUGAUGCGGUAGAGGAGCGUUCUGUAAGCCUGUGAAGGUGAGUUGAGAAGCUUGCUGGAGGUAUCAGAAGUGCGAAUGCUGACAUGAGUAACGACAAUGCGAGUGAAAAACUCGCACGCCGAAAGACCAAGGUUUCCUGCGCAACGUUAAUCGACGCAGGGUUAGUCGGUCCCUAAGGCGAGGCUGAAAAGCGUAGUCGAUGGAAAACAGGUUAAUAUUCCUGUACUUCCAGUUAUUGCGAUGGAGGGACGGAGAAGGUUAGGCCAGCCUGGCGUUGGUUGUCCAGGUUUAAGGUGGUAGGCUGAAAUCUUAGGCAAAUCCGGGAUUUCAAGGCCGAGAGCUGAUGACGAGUUGCCUUCAGGCGACGAAGUGGUUGAUACCAUGCUUCCAAGAAAAGCUCCUAAGCUUCAGAUAACUGGGAACCGUACCCCAAACCGACACAGGUGGUUAGGUAGAGAAUACCAAGGCGCUUGAGAGAACUCGGGUGAAGGAACUAGGCAAAAUGGCACCGUAACUUCGGGAGAAGGUGCGCCGGCGAGGGUGAAGGACUUGCUCCGUAAGCCCAUGCCGGUCGAAGAUACCAGGCCGCUGCGACUGUUUAUUAAAAACACAGCACUCUGCAAACACGAAAGUGGACGUAUAGGGUGUGACGCCUGCCCGGUGCCGGAAGGUUAAUUGAUGGGGUUAGCGCAAGCGAAGCUCUUGAUCGAAGCCCCGGUAAACGGCGGCCGUAACUAUAACGGUCCUAAGGUAGCGAAAUUCCUUGUCGGGUAAGUUCCGACCUGCACGAAUGGCGUAACGAUGGCGGCGCUGUCUCCACCCGAGACUCAGUGAAAUUGAAAUCGCUGUGAAGAUGCAGUGUAUCCGCGGCUAGACGGAAAGACCCCGUGAACCUUUACUAUAGCUUUGCACUGGACUUUGAAUUUGCUUGUGUAGGAUAGGUGGGAGGCUUUGAAGUGGGGACGCCAGUUCUCAUGGAGCCAUCCUUGAAAUACCACCCUGGCAACUUUGAGGUUCUAACUCAGGUCCGUCAUCCGGAUCGAGGACAGUGUAUGGUGGGUAGUUUGACUGGGGCGGUCUCCUCCCAAAGAGUAACGGAGGAGUACGAAGGUGCGCUCAGACCGGUCGGAAAUCGGUCGUAGAGUAUAAAGGCAAAAGCGCGCUUGACUGCGAGACAAACACGUCGAGCAGGUACGAAAGUAGGUCUUAGUGAUCCGGUGGUUCUGUAUGGAAGGGCCAUCGCUCAACGGAUAAAAGGUACUCCGGGGAUAACAGGCUGAUACCGCCCAAGAGUUCAUAUCGACGGCGGUGUUUGGCACCUCGAUGUCGGCUCAUCACAUCCUGGGGCUGAAGCCGGUCCCAAGGGUAUGGCUGUUCGCCAUUUAAAGUGGUACGCGAGCUGGGUUUAGAACGUCGUGAGACAGUUCGGUCCCUAUCUGCCGUGGACGUUUGAGAUUUGAGAGGGGCUGCUCCUAGUACGAGAGGACCGGAGUGGACGAACCUCUGGUGUUCCGGUUGUCACGCCAGUGGCAUUGCCGGGUAGCUAUGUUCGGAAGAGAUAACCGCUGAAAGCAUCUAAGCGGGAAACUUGCCUCAAGAUGAGAUCUCACUGGGAUCUUGA